AGAGUUGAUCAUGGCUCAGAACGAACGCUGGCGGUCGCGUUUAAGCAUGCAAGUCGACAGGGUAAAAUUUAGCAAUAGAAUUGAGACUGGCGAACGGGUGAGUAACACGUGAAAUCUACCUGAGAUGGGGGAUAGCCGGUAGAAAUAUCGGGUAAUACUGCAUAUGCCGAGAGGUGAAAGGGGCAACUGCUCCGUCUUGAGAUGAGUUUGCGUCUGAUUAGAUAGUUGGCGAGGUAAAGGCUCACCAAGUCUACGAUCAGUAGCCGGCCUGAGAGGGUGACCGGCCACAUUGGGACUGAGACACGGCCCAGACUCCUACGGGAGGCAGCAGCUAAGAAUAUUCCGCGAAUGGGAGAAAUCCUGACGGAGCGACGCCGCGUGAACGAUUUGAAGGCAGAAAUGUUGUAAAGUUCUUUAUUAGGGAAGAAUAAGGCUGGUAGUGGAAAGAUCAGUCGAUGACGGUACCUAAUGAAUAAGCCACGGCUAACUACGUGCCAGCAGCCGC
This 505-nucleotide ribosomal RNA is filed under the name uncultured bacterium. RNAcentral's name for it is "bacterial SSU rRNA". It matches the Rfam family "Bacterial small subunit ribosomal RNA", at positions 8 to 518 of the family's 1533-position model. The record is from RNAcentral.